This is a long non-coding RNA of Pollicipes pollicipes, 720 nucleotides long. RefSeq lists it as uncharacterized. The record is from RefSeq and is a predicted model, not a curated record. The transcript has 3 exons. NCBI's taxonomy places the organism in Eukaryota, Metazoa, Arthropoda, Thecostraca, Pollicipedomorpha, Pollicipedidae.
CGACGCAUGCUGAUAGACCGAAGUCGGCCAAUACGAUACAUGAAUAUGAAGAGCAUCAUGCAACUUCCUUCGAAGAAAUAAUGCCGCAUUGCAGGUGCAGCCGUCAUAAGGAAGAACGUGGACCACAUGAUUGGAAGACAACGAACUUGCAAUACCGCUCAGUAUGAGUACGCACGAGAAACAAAGCAAAACUCCAAACGAGAGAGCGAUAGAUCUUCAGAAAGAGACUUACUUGAAUGAAUCGCUGAUACUGAUGGGGUACCUGCUGGCGAUGUUCGUGUUCGCCUUAUCUUUAUAUCAGUGCAAACGUCGCCGAGACGAGCGCCGACAAGAGCCUUCUUACCUGGACAGCGACGGAUGAUCCCCAAGGAACAGUGUGUGAUGGUGUCACCAGCCGCUACCAGGGAGACGGCGUUGUCACACACAACGAGGCGGUGAACAGAUCAGCGGCUGGCACCGUUGGACUAUCUGUCUCCUCCGAAGCUCAUUUGAUGGUAACAAUUGCUGGUGUACCUAGUGAACAGUGAUUGCCUGCAUUUUAGGUGACUGGAUUUGCUAUCUGUUCACCUAUUUGCGGCACGAUGUGCUGCUCUGUGCGUAAAAAACGCCAUGUCAUUAACAUCAAGGGAUAGCGCGAACGAGUCUUAUUAAAAAAGUUAGCCACUGCUGUCUGUGAUGGGCUGUGGUAGCCCAUUCUGUGCAUGAAACAUGAAAACUGUG